AAAUGAGCACUUGAUAAAGCACGGCGAGAUCGGGAGGCUCUACAAGCGUUUGCUUUGAUUAAAGCCAAACAGAGGCGCGCGCGUUGAAUGUGCGCGUCUGAGCGCGGCGGGCUCAAGGAGAUCGGACGCUACCAUUCACACCGAGGGAGAACAGACCGCACCGGCGUGCAUGCUUUCAGACACAUGCCGCUGAAACCUCAAAACAUAUGUCCGGACGGAUAAAUAUUGCCGUCGACGUGAGUUACGAGUUGACCAACAGAUGCUGAAUGGAAACGACGUGUUCCUUUCAUUUUCUUACGGAGGAUUUGCUCGCGCUUCAGUGUGAAGACAGGGCAGAGCAAAAGGAGAGAGAGCUCCAGAACAGGCCAGAACUCAGCGGCAGAGAUCAGAAGAGGUUCAACAAAGAUAUCAACUUGUAAAUUCGGCAAGACAACAGAGGCGAUAUCAAUGCAUUGCUAAAAUUAUGAGGUGGAAUGAAACAUUGCACACUGUAUGGAUUGUUCAAUAUUUCAUCCCUCAGCUGCAUUCCAAUUCCACCUCCGAACGCAGUAUAUUCAUGAGCCGGGGACUUGUCUACUGACUCCAAAUGAGAAGGGCAAUGCAAUGCUCCCCCUCAAUCCACACCUGCUGCUAUUAGAUUUGCACCAAAUCUGAGAGAGAGUCACAGAGAGAAAAGAGCACAAAAAUGAAAGAAGAACGUUGUUGACCAAAUAACAUUCGACCCCAUUGACUUCUAUUGUAAUGAUACAAAUCCACUGAAACAUUUCAUGUCAUGUGAAGGUUUUAAACAACGUGAG
Triplophysa dalaica is the source of this 797-nucleotide long non-coding RNA. RefSeq lists it as uncharacterized. The record is from RefSeq and is a predicted model, not a curated record. The transcript is spliced from 3 exons. Lineage: Eukaryota; Metazoa; Chordata; Actinopteri; Cypriniformes; Nemacheilidae.